This 465-nucleotide ribosomal RNA is filed under the name Vreelandella stevensii. RNAcentral's name for it is "partial 16S ribosomal RNA". It matches the Rfam family "Bacterial small subunit ribosomal RNA", at positions 338 to 795 of the family's 1533-position model. Lineage: Bacteria; Pseudomonadati; Pseudomonadota; Gammaproteobacteria; Oceanospirillales; Halomonadaceae. The record is from RNAcentral.
CCUACGGGAGGCAGCAGUGGGGAAUAUUGGACAAUGGGGGGAACCCUGAUCCAGCCAUGCCGCGUGUGUGAAGAAGGCCCUCGGGUUGUAAAGCACUUUCAGUGAGGAAGAACGCCUGGUGGUUAAUACCCAUCAGGAAAGACAUCACUCACAGAAGAAGCACCGGCUAACUCCGGGCCAGCAGCCGCGGUAAUACGGAGGGUGCGAGCGUUAAUCGGAAUUACUGGGCGUAAAGCGCGCGUAGGUGGCUUGAUAAGCCGGUUGUGAAAGCCCCGGGCUCAACCUGGGAACGGCAUCCGGAACUGUCAAGCUAGAGUGCAGGAGAGGAAGGUAGAAUUCCCGGUGUAGCGGUGAAAUGCGUAGAGAUCGGGAGGAAUACCAGUGGCGAAGGCGGCCUUCUGGACUGACACUGACACUGAGGUGCGAAAGCGUGGGUAGCAAACAGGAUUAGAUACCCUGGUAGUC